Salvia miltiorrhiza (redroot sage) is the source of this 610-nucleotide long non-coding RNA. RefSeq lists it as uncharacterized. The record is from RefSeq and is a predicted model, not a curated record. The transcript has 3 exons. Lineage: Eukaryota; Viridiplantae; Streptophyta; Magnoliopsida; Lamiales; Lamiaceae.
ACUCCCACCCACUCACACUUUUCACUUCCACUCACCCUUUCCACUCUCCCCACUCACACGAUACCUUGCCCCCCAUUCCCUUCCACUCACCAUUUCUCCUACAUACCAAGGAACUAAGUGCGGAGCUACACCCACAGAAGUUCAGCUAUACCACACGGACUCCACAAACUCAGCUGAAAGCUCUAAAGACUUCAUCUACAAAUCACUCUGCCCAUUUUACCUCCAUUCACGGCUUUGAGCAUCAGAAAGAUUAGCACUGCUAUUCCGAUUCAGAGAUAAGGUUAAACGACAGGCUUUGCCUAUUCAGGUUGAGUAGCUACCGAUGGUGAUGAAGUGACGAGCGAGAUUCUUUUGCUUUAUUAUGUAUUAAUGAACUCUAGGGUUACGUGUCUUCAUACAUGUAAUCAGAACCUUAUUCCGCUGCGUACUCAGAAGUUUUAUGUUGUUUUGGCUGAGUCAGAGAUAUCUGAACUUACUAGUUAUUUGAGUUUAUACGACUAAACCUCUGUUAUAUUAUAAAUAUUUCUUUUGUUAAAUGAUGAAAUGUGAUCCUUCCUUGUUUGAUUAUACCCUUUCUACCCCGCUUCUAAUCUCCCUCCAUUAGUCACGG